RNAcentral lists this ribosomal RNA (808 nucleotides) under metagenome. RNAcentral's name for it is "bacterial SSU rRNA". It matches the Rfam family "Bacterial small subunit ribosomal RNA", at positions 615 to 1433 of the family's 1533-position model. The record is from RNAcentral.
UCAAGAAAGGUUUCAGAACUGAAAGACUAGAGUUUGAUAGGGGAAAGUAGAAUUUCUAAUGGAGGGAUAAAAUUCAUAGAGAUUAGAAGGAAUACCAGAGGCGAAGGCGACUUUCUGGAUCAAAACUGACGCUGAGAGACGAAAGCAUGGGUAGCGAACAGGAUUAGAUACCCUGGUAGUCCAUAGCUGUAAACGAUGAGUGCUCGUAUUUAGGGUCAAUCUUAGAUACUAAGCUAACGCGUUAAGCACUCCACCUGGGGAGUACGGUCGCAAGACUGAAACUCAAAGGAAUUGACGGGGGCCCACACAAGCGGUGGAGCAUGUGGUUUAAUUCGACAAUACGCGCAGAACCUUACCAGCCCUUGACAUAUAAGUGGAGGUCUAUGAGAAUAGGUCUUUUCAUGCUUAUACAGGCGCUGCAUGGCUGUCGUCAGCUCGUGUCGUGAGAUGUUGGGUUAAGUCCUUUAACGAGCGCAACCCUCUUUAUCUGUUGCUAUCACCUUAAGGUGAGCACUCUGAUAAAACUGCCAGUGAUAAACUGGAGGAAGGUGGGGAUGACGUCAAGUCCUCAUGGCCCUUAUGGGCUGGGCUACACACGUGCUACAAUGGUAAUGACAAAGGGAAGCAAUAACGCGAGUUGGAGCGAAUCCUUAAAGAUUAUCUCAGUUCGGAUUGCAGGCUGCAACUCGCCUGCAUGAAGUUGGAAUCGCUAGUAAUCGUAGAUCAGCAUGCUACGGUGAAUUUGUACCUGGGCCUUGUACACACCGCCCGUCACAUUUUGGGAGUGUGUUCUACUUGAUACAAGGGA